Molecule: unclassified non-coding RNA, 230 nt
Filed under: plant metagenome
Description: partial contains small subunit ribosomal RNA, internal transcribed spacer 1, and 5.8S ribosomal RNA
Source: RNAcentral
UCUCCGUAGGUGAACCUGCGGAGGGAUCAUUAACGAGUUCCCCUUAAACGGGUAGAAUUCCCACCCUAUGUUAUCAUUACCUUUGUUGCUUUAGCGGGCCGUCUCAGCCUCGGUCAGGCUACCGGCUCCGGCUGGUAAGCGCCCGCCAGAGGAGCCCAAACUCUGAAUAUUAGUGUCUUCUGAGUACUAUAUAAUAGUUAAAACUUUCAACAACGGAUCUCUUGGUUCAG